GAUAGCUUUGCAUACAUAUUGCA
This 23-nucleotide non-coding RNA is filed under the name Arabidopsis thaliana (thale cress). The record is from RNAcentral. Lineage: Eukaryota; Viridiplantae; Streptophyta; Magnoliopsida; Brassicales; Brassicaceae.